Molecule: non-coding RNA, 26 nt
Filed under: Rattus norvegicus (Norway rat)
Lineage: Eukaryota; Metazoa; Chordata; Mammalia; Rodentia; Muridae
Source: RNAcentral
UGACAGUGGCCCCCACUUUCUCUAAC